RNAcentral lists this transfer RNA (38 nucleotides) under Pimelodidae sp. 1 JPS-2012. RNAcentral describes it as "partial tRNA-Thr". The record is from RNAcentral. Lineage: Eukaryota; Metazoa; Chordata; Actinopteri; Siluriformes; Pimelodidae.
UGCCUUAGUAGCUUAAACCCAAAGCACCGGUCUUGUAA